Molecule: ribosomal RNA, 477 nt
Filed under: Serratia nematodiphila
Lineage: Bacteria; Pseudomonadati; Pseudomonadota; Gammaproteobacteria; Enterobacterales; Yersiniaceae
Description: bacterial SSU rRNA
Rfam family: Bacterial small subunit ribosomal RNA
Source: RNAcentral
UGGAAAGUUUGAUCCUGGCUCCAGAUUGAACGCUGGCGGCAGGCUUAACACAUGCAAGUGGAGCGGGUAGCACAAGGGAGCUUGCUCCCCGGGUGACGAGCGGCGGACGGGUGAGUAAUGUCUGGGAAACUGCCUGAUGGAGGGGGCCACACUACUGGAAACGGUAGCUAAUACCGCAUAACGUCGCAAGACCAAAGAGGGGGACCUUCGGGCCUCUUGCCAUCAGAUGUGCCCAGAUGGGAUUAGCUAGUAGGUGGGGUAAUGGCUCACCUAGGCGACGAUCCCUAGCUGGUCUGAGAGGAUGACCAGCCACACUGGAACUGAGACACGGUCCAGACUCCUACGGGAGGCAGCAGUGGGGAAUAUUGCACAAUGGGCGCAAGCCUGAUGCAGCCAUGCCGCGUGUGUGAAGAAGGCCUUCGGGUUGUAAAGCACUUUCAGCGAGGAGGAAGGUGGUAGCUUAAUACGUUCAUCAAU